UGUGUAAUGGCCACUCCCUACUCACCAAUAAUGGAGCGUGAACAAGAAGGGCAAGAUUAUGAAGAUGAGAGGUCUACAGCUAGUGGGUGCAAUUGCUUUCAGCUCUUCUCCUUCAAAUGGAAUCAAAACAAUAAUGACUAUGAAAAUAGGUAUCUCCUGAACCAGCAGAAUGGAGACAUUCAACAUGGAGAAUCAUGGGUGGUGAAUCAACUAAAGAAGGUGAAGGAAGUUUCAGAAGUUGUGGCAGGACCAAAGUGGAAGACUUUCAUUAGAAAGGUCAGUGGAUAUAUCAAGAACAUGAAGAAACAAAAGAAUAAUAAUAGUAACAGCCAGUUCCAGUAUGACCCAGAAAGCUAUGCUCUUAACUUUGAUGGUGGUGUUGAUAGAGAAGAAGAUGAUUUGCUGCUACCUGGUUUCUCUUCAAGGCUUGCUUCUGUAGGGGAAAAAAGACAGAAUGUGUUGUGAUCUUUUAGGGUUGUUCUACCUUCAUCCAUGAUUGUUUCAUUAAUUUGUUGUGUGUAAAGCGAU
RNAcentral lists this unclassified non-coding RNA (528 nucleotides) under Hevea brasiliensis (rubber tree). The record is from RNAcentral. Lineage: Eukaryota; Viridiplantae; Streptophyta; Magnoliopsida; Malpighiales; Euphorbiaceae.